This is a non-coding RNA of Microcebus murinus (gray mouse lemur), 114 nucleotides long. The record is from RefSeq and is a predicted model, not a curated record. Lineage: Eukaryota; Metazoa; Chordata; Mammalia; Primates; Cheirogaleidae.
GGAGCUACGCUCAGGCUGCCUGCAGCGACAGUGCCCAGGGCUCCGAUGUGUCUCUCACGGCUUGUAAAGGGUGAGACAGCUGCCUGUGUGGGACAGAGCGAUGCAGGACUUGUU